Molecule: ribosomal RNA, 497 nt
Filed under: uncultured bacterium
Lineage: Bacteria
Description: partial 16S ribosomal RNA
Rfam family: Bacterial small subunit ribosomal RNA
Source: RNAcentral
GAUGAACGCUGGCGGCGUGCAUAAUACAUGCAAGUCGAGCGAACAGACGAGGAGCUUGCUCCUCUGACGUUAGCGGCGGACGGGUGAGUAACACGUGGAUAACCUACCUAUAAGACUGGGAUAACUUCGGGAAACCGGAGCUAAUACCGGAUAAUAUAUUGAACCGCAUGGUUCAAUAGUGAAAGACGGUUUUGCUGUCACUUAUAGAUGGAUCCGCGCCGCAUUAGCUAGUUGGUAAGGUAACGGCUUACCAAGGCGACGAUGCGUAGCCGACCUGAGAGGGUGAUCGGCCACACUGGAACUGAGACACGGUCCAGACUCCUACGGGAGGCAGCAGUAGGGAAUCUUCCGCAAUGGGCGAAAGCCUGACGGAGCAACGCCGCGUGAGUGAUGAAGGUCUUCGGAUCGUAAAACUCUGUUAUUAGGGAAGAACAAAUGUGUAAGUAACUAUGCACGUCUUGACGGUACCUAAUCAGAAAGCCACGGCUAACUACGUG